This 424-nucleotide ribosomal RNA is filed under the name Verrucomicrobiota bacterium. RNAcentral's name for it is "Verrucomicrobia bacterium partial 16S ribosomal RNA". It matches the Rfam family "Bacterial small subunit ribosomal RNA", at positions 355 to 776 of the family's 1533-position model. Lineage: Bacteria; Pseudomonadati; Verrucomicrobiota. The record is from RNAcentral.
UGAGGAAUAUUGGUCAAUGGACGAGAGUCUGAACCAGCCAAGUAGCGUGCAGGAUGACGGCCCUAUGGGUUGUAAACUGCUUUUGUUUGGGAAUAAUCGACAUUACGUGUAAUGUUUUGCAUGUACCAUAUGAAUAAGGACCGGCUAAUUCCGUGCCAGCAGCCGCGGUAAUACGGAAGGUUCGGGCGUUAUCCGGAUUUAUUGGGUUUAAAGGGAGCGUAGGCCGUUUGGUAAGCGUGUUGUGAAAUGUAGGAGCUCAACUUCUAGAUUGCAGCGCGAACUGUCAGACUUGAGUGCGCACAACGUAGGCGGAAUUCAUGGUGUAGCGGUGAAAUGCUUAGAUAUCAUGAAGAACUCCGAUUGCGAAGGCAGCUUACGGGAGUGUUACUGACGCUUAAGCUCGAAGGUGCGGGUAUCGAACAGG